GAGGGUGUAGCUCAAGUGGUAGAGCACAUGCUUAGCAUGCACGAGGUUCUGGGUUCAAUCCCUGGCAUCUCCU
This 73-nucleotide transfer RNA is filed under the name Camelus bactrianus (Bactrian camel). It matches the Rfam family "tRNA". From Rfam's summary of the family: Transfer RNA (tRNA) molecules are approximately 80 nucleotides in length. Their secondary structure includes four short double-helical elements and three loops (D, anti-codon, and T loops). Lineage: Eukaryota; Metazoa; Chordata; Mammalia; Artiodactyla; Camelidae. RNAcentral also lists the same sequence under 1 other name. The record is from Rfam by way of RNAcentral.